RNAcentral lists this transfer RNA (36 nucleotides) under Drosophila lini. Its description in RNAcentral is "tRNA-Leu". Lineage: Eukaryota; Metazoa; Arthropoda; Insecta; Diptera; Drosophilidae. The record is from RNAcentral.
AAAUUAAUUAGUUAAAAGUGGUAAUUCAGAAUAACU